GGUGGCUCAGUGGUAGAGUGCUUGCCUUGCAUGCAUGAAGCCCUGGGUUCAAUUCCUCAGUACCA
Non-coding RNA from Dipodomys ordii (Ord's kangaroo rat), 65 nucleotides. Lineage: Eukaryota; Metazoa; Chordata; Mammalia; Rodentia; Heteromyidae. The record is from Rfam.